GAUCCACCACCCCUGACCUGCUCCAGGGUCACACACACCUCCUCCAGCUGAUGAGGGUGCCAGUCCCUCCACCAGCACAUUGCCAUUUUUUUCACAGUGACAGACUGUGGGCCCUGGGCACCUGCCAUGCUAAGAGCAGGAGUGAUGAAGGAAGACAGAGGCCCUGCAUCUGGCAGAGCUGAGCAGCUUUGCUUCAGCAAGGUACAGCUUCUUUCAGGACCAAAAAAUCCUCAAAUGGAGCCUGAAACUCACAAGAUUCAAUGGAUGGCAAGACUGAAAAUCGCAUUCUUUCUAGGUUUCUUUGAGACGCCAGCUGACGUUCGUGUUGGAAUCUAUCUCACAUUGUCCGGCAGUGAUCCAUGCCCAUGGCGGCCGUUCCUCCUGCUUUAUGGUUUCUCCCAGCUCCAUGGGAUACACAGCUGCAGAUUUCUGUGCCA
Molecule: long non-coding RNA, 437 nt
Organism: Ictalurus punctatus (channel catfish)
Lineage: Eukaryota; Metazoa; Chordata; Actinopteri; Siluriformes; Ictaluridae
Exons: 4
Source: RefSeq, a predicted model, not a curated record